UUGUCAGUUGUUUUAUGUGAUUACAGUAAAGAUAUGUGCCUACAAAUCAUUCCUUAUCGUUGUCAUAGAGUCAAUAAGGCUAAUGUAUAAACUAAGGAUUUUAUGAAAAGUCUCAGUAUGAAUAAGAAAUAUGUUACAAGUAAUGCAACCUUCCUUAUUUCUACCUCUUUCAGGACUAAAUGAUUUGAUCCAUUAAGAUUCCACUAUGCUCACAUGAAGUAAUAUGUUUACAUAUCCUUAUCUCUCUUAUGCUCACAUGUUUCCAGACCUACGACAUCACGCCAGGAAAGAGUCUUGCCUUCAAGUCUCACAAUCCGGACGUUUGCCAAAAGGGGAAAGUUUUGCCUUCAAGUCUCACAAUUCGGACGUUUGCCAAAAGAGAAAUUGAGAAUACAAACACAACAAAGAUUGCAAGAAAGGUGUGUAAAUUAACACUCGCUGGGAAAAUUUACGUUUUUGCAAUUUGUCAACUUAAAAUGGAUCCCGCACUCCUUAAUGCUGGAAGUUUCUGGUGGAGAACGGCGCGCACGAGUUAUACUAAUUUAAGCCACCAAAUUUUUCUUUGGUUAUAGCGUCAAAGAGUACAUCGAUUCAACCUCUGUAAAGAAGGAAGAAAGUAAGAACUACCGCAAGUUGAAUAGGAAUAUUCAGAUGGUACUUUUCCAAGCGUUUCCACCAAUUCGUUUGACCAUCUAUAUAAUGAAUC
Molecule: long non-coding RNA, 706 nt
Organism: Capsicum annuum
Lineage: Eukaryota; Viridiplantae; Streptophyta; Magnoliopsida; Solanales; Solanaceae
Exons: 4
Source: RefSeq, a predicted model, not a curated record